GGGUGUGUAGCUCAGCCGGUUAGAGCAACGCUCUUAUAAGGCGUAGGUCCCAGGUUCGAGCCCUGGCACACCCACCG
RNAcentral lists this transfer RNA (77 nucleotides) under Candidatus Yanofskybacteria bacterium CG10_big_fil_rev_8_21_14_0_10_46_23. RNAcentral describes it as "tRNA-Ile". It matches the Rfam family "tRNA". Rfam says of the family: Transfer RNA (tRNA) molecules are approximately 80 nucleotides in length. Their secondary structure includes four short double-helical elements and three loops (D, anti-codon, and T loops). Further hydrogen bonds mediate the characteristic L-shaped molecular structure. tRNAs have two regions of fundamental functional importance: the anti-codon, which is responsible for specific mRNA codon recognition, and the 3' end, to which the tRNAs corresponding amino acid is attached (by aminoacyl-tRNA synthetases). tRNAs cope with the degeneracy of the genetic code in two manners: having more than one tRNA (with a specific anti-codon) for a particular amino acid; and 'wobble' base-pairing, i.e. permitting non-standard base-pairing at the 3rd anti-codon position. The record is from RNAcentral. Lineage: Bacteria; Candidatus Yanofskyibacteriota.